AGUGAACGCUGGCGGUAGGCCUAACACAUGCAAGUCGAACGGCAGCACAGUAAGAGCUUGCUCUUACGGGUGGCGAGUGGCGGACGGGUGAGGAAUACAUCGGAAUCUACUUUUUCGUGGGGGAUAACGUAGGGAAACUUACGCUAAUACCGCAUACGACCUAUGGGUGAAAGCAGGGGAUCUUCGGACCUUGCGCGAUUGAAUGAGCCGAUGUCGGGUUAGCUAGUUGGCGGGGUAAAGGCCCACCAAGGCGACGAUCCGUAGCUGGUCUGAGAGGAUGAUCAGCCACACUGGAACUGAGACACGGUCCAGACUCCUACGGGAGGCAGCAGUGGGGAAUAUUGGACAAUGGGCGCAAGCCUGAUCCAGCCAUACCGCGUGGGUGAAGAAGGCCUUCGGGUUGUAAAGCCCUUUUGUUGGGAAAGAAAAGCAGCAGGUUAAUACCCCGCUGUUCUGACGGUACCCAAAGAAUAAGCACCGGCUAACUUCGUG
Molecule: ribosomal RNA, 492 nt
Filed under: uncultured bacterium
Lineage: Bacteria
Description: partial 16S ribosomal RNA
Rfam family: Bacterial small subunit ribosomal RNA
Source: RNAcentral